RNAcentral lists this ribosomal RNA (434 nucleotides) under uncultured Parabacteroides sp. Its description in RNAcentral is "bacterial SSU rRNA". It matches the Rfam family "Bacterial small subunit ribosomal RNA", at positions 958 to 1393 of the family's 1533-position model. The record is from RNAcentral. Lineage: Bacteria; Pseudomonadati; Bacteroidota; Bacteroidia; Bacteroidales; Tannerellaceae.
AACGCGAAGAACCUUACCCGGGUUUGAACGCAUUUCGACAGCUCUGGAAACAGAGCCUCUAGCGAUAACGAUUUGCGAGGUGCUGCAUGGUUGUCGUCAGCUCGUGCCGUGAGGUGUCGGCUUAAGUGCCAUAACGAGCGCAACCCUUGCCACUAGUUACUAACAGGUGAUGCUGAGGACUCUGGUGGGACUGCCAGCGUAAGCUGCGAGGAAGGCGGGGAUGACGUCAAAUCAGCACGGCCCUUACAUCCGGGGCGACACACGUGUUACAAUGGCGUGGACAAAGGGAGGCCACCUGGCGACAGGGAGCGAAUCCCCAAACCACGUCUCAGUUCGGAUCGGAGUCUGCAACCCGACUCCGUGAAGCUGGAUUCGCUAGUAAUCGCGCAUCAGCCAUGGCGCGGUGAAUACGUUCCCGGGUCUUGUACACACGC